Molecule: long non-coding RNA, 539 nt
Filed under: Salvator merianae (Argentine black and white tegu)
Lineage: Eukaryota; Metazoa; Chordata; Lepidosauria; Squamata; Teiidae
Description: lncRNA (ENSSMRG00000006696.1)
Source: RNAcentral
UACCAAAAAUGUUUUCUUUUUUUAAGUUUAAUUUUUCAUUUUUUUAAANGUGAUAAGCAGUGUCAGAAGGAGUUUUAUAAAUAUGAGCAAAAGAAAGAGAAAGAAUGAACCCUGACCAGAAGCAUUUCCCUCACCCAAGCACAUUGCAAAUUAUAUCAUCCCUGUUACUGUACUUUCAAGAUUUUGGAGAGUGAAAGAAUCUACACCUCAACACUUCUGGGUAGGACCAUAGAAAUAUACCCAUUGCACUUUCAGUGGCAGGAGAAUAUCAUGGAUGUGUCAGAUGUGAAAAUAGCAAAGGAUAAAGAGCAAAGGAGGUCAUAAAAAGCAAAAGUGUGGUUAAAAGAGUCUGGCUAAGCUGGGAAACCCAACAGGUUGCUCAUAUGGCAGCUGCUGUCUCCUGUGACAGAUAAAGAACAAAACAGCAAGACAGCAUAUUGGGGCUGUGUGAUACUCCCUAACUGUCACACACACACAGACACAAUUGCACAGGUAAUGUGGUUUGGUUUUGCUCAGUUUUUUUUGUUUUUUUUUAAAGA